This 254-nucleotide ribosomal RNA is filed under the name uncultured bacterium. Its description in RNAcentral is "partial 16S ribosomal RNA". It matches the Rfam family "Bacterial small subunit ribosomal RNA", at positions 524 to 776 of the family's 1533-position model. The record is from RNAcentral.
UACGAAGGGGGGCUAGCGUUGUUCGGAUUUACUGGGCGUAAAGCGCACGUAGGCGGAUCGUUAAGUCGGGGGUGAAAUCUUGGAGCUCAACUCCAGAACUGCCUUCGAUACUGGCGAUCUUGAGUCCGGAAGAGGUGAGUGGAACUCCUAGUGUAGAGGUGGAAUUCGUAGAUAUUAGGAAGAACACCAGUGGCGAAGGCGGCUCACUGGUCCGGUACUGACGCUGAGGUGCGAAAGCGUGGGGAGCAAACAGG